Molecule: ribosomal RNA, 459 nt
Filed under: uncultured bacterium
Lineage: Bacteria
Description: partial 16S ribosomal RNA
Rfam family: Bacterial small subunit ribosomal RNA
Source: RNAcentral
CCUACGGGAGGCAGCAGUGAGGAAUAUUGGUCAAUGGGCGCGAGCCUGAACCAGCCAAGUCGCGUGAGGGAAGACGGUCCUAUGGAUUGUAAACUUCUUUUGUCGGGGAGCAAAAGACGCCACGCGUGGCGUUCCGUGAGUACCCGAAGAAAAAGCAUCGGCUAACUCCGUGCCAGCAGCCGCGGUAAUACGGAGGAUGCGAGCGUUAUCCGGAUUUAUUGGGUUUAAAGGGUGCGCAGGCGGAAGAUCAAGUCAGCGGUAAAAUUGAGAGGCUCAACCUCUUAGUGCCGUUGAAACUGGUUGUCUUGAGUGAGCUAGAGGUGUGCGGAAUGCGUGGUGUAGCGGUGAAAUGCAUAGAUAUCACGCAGAACUCCGAUUGCGAAGGCAGCACACCGGCGUUCAACUGACGCUGAUGCACGAAAGUGUGGGUAUCGAACAGGAUUAGAUACCCCUGUAGUC